Non-coding RNA from Phyllostomus discolor (pale spear-nosed bat), 616 nucleotides. NCBI's taxonomy places the organism in Eukaryota, Metazoa, Chordata, Mammalia, Chiroptera, Phyllostomidae. The record is from the annotation of a RefSeq genome assembly.
CACUGUCUCUCUAGCCUUCUGCACAUUCUGCACACACAGGCAGGGGGUCCCCACAGCUAAGUCUCCUGUCUCAUUGGUCUUCCUGCAAGUGCCUGUAGCUACCAGGGGCCCCCUUCCCACUAUGGGCAGCCAGGUGCUCUGCUGCGUGCUCCUUUGUCUCCUGGGAGCAGGCACAUUGGGUGGCAGAAUCACUCAGACCCCAAAAUACCUGUCCAAGGAGGAAGGACAAGAUGUGACCCUGCACUGUGAACAGGACUUUGGUCAUGACUACAUGUCCUGGUACCGACAGGACCCCGGGCAGGGGCUGAGGCUGAUCUACUUCUCCAGAGGUGAAACCAGUGUUGAGGAGGGAGACCUGGCUACAGGCUACCGGGCCUCUCGGGAGAAGAAGGCAUCCUUUCCUCUCACCGUGCCAUCGACCAGGAAGAACCAGACAGCUGUGUACCUCUGUGCCAGCAGCUUAGACACAGUGGGGCACAGCCACCUCCUUCACAUGCACAGACACUUGCAGAUCAGUGGAUUCCGGAGCCAGCUGCUGGCUCAGGGACGUCUGGGCAGUGGGGACACAGCCCCAAAGCUCCCUGCUCCCCGUGUGCGGGUCAUACUCCGCAGGUGA